GCAGAAGUAGCUCAGUUGGUAGAGCAUAACCUUGCCAAGGUUAGGGUCGCGAGUUCGAGUCUCGUCUUCUGCUCCA
This 76-nucleotide transfer RNA is filed under the name Bacteroidales bacterium. Its description in RNAcentral is "tRNA-Gly". It matches the Rfam family "tRNA". Rfam says of the family: Transfer RNA (tRNA) molecules are approximately 80 nucleotides in length. Their secondary structure includes four short double-helical elements and three loops (D, anti-codon, and T loops). The record is from RNAcentral. Lineage: Bacteria; Pseudomonadati; Bacteroidota; Bacteroidia; Bacteroidales.